GUUGAGUAAUUGUUGAAGCUAAAAUAAUGUCUUGAGAGUGGUUUCUCUCUCCUUUUGCAUGCAUCUGAAACUUUUUACUUUAAAAACAAAACCACAGUAACAGAAACUCUGCUCACUGUUUCUAACUUCCCCCAAAGGGUCAUUUUCAUCUGACACUGAAGAUCACUCACGACAUGGGCACUAGCAGGCAACGACCGCGAGAAACACACAACACCACGAGCUUGCACCUGCCUGGAAAGCCCACGCGUCUCACGCUGAGAAGCCACACAAAGGCUUUUCCCUUGCUCGAGGACAAAACGGCUUGAACUCUGCUUUGCUUUUGUUUCACACUGAGUCUGCUCCCCUCUGCCAGAUGACCACAUCAAAAGUGAUUCCCCUGGGGAAAGCACAGGCAGAACACUCUGACAGAAUUCAAAGAAGAUCUGUACAUCUGAAACUAACACAACAUUGUAAACCAACCGAAGUCCAGUAUAAAACAGAAAUUUUUUUAAAAAAAGAAAAGAUACACGCCCCUCCAUGUUCAUAGCAGCACUAUUUACAA
Molecule: long non-coding RNA, 541 nt
Organism: Bos taurus (domestic cattle)
Lineage: Eukaryota; Metazoa; Chordata; Mammalia; Artiodactyla; Bovidae
Source: Ensembl